UCUGAAUAGGGCGUUUAGUAUUUGGUCGUAGACCCGAAACCAGGUGAUCUACCCUUGGUCAGGUUGAAGUUCAGGUAACACUGAAUGGAGGACCGAACCGACUUACGUUGAAAAGUGAGCGGAUGAACUGAGGGUAGCGGAGAAAUUCCAAUCGAACCUGGAGAUAGCUGGUUCUCUCCGAAAUAGCUUUAGGGCUAGCCUCAAGUGAUGAUUAUUGGAGGUAGAGCACUGUUUGGACGAGGGGCCCCUCUCGGGUUACCGAAUUCAGACAAACUCCG
This 278-nucleotide ribosomal RNA is filed under the name Staphylococcus aureus. RNAcentral describes it as "partial 23S ribosomal RNA". It matches the Rfam family "Bacterial large subunit ribosomal RNA", at positions 682 to 958 of the family's 2925-position model. Lineage: Bacteria; Bacillati; Bacillota; Bacilli; Caryophanales; Staphylococcaceae. The record is from RNAcentral.